This 21-nucleotide non-coding RNA is filed under the name Caenorhabditis elegans. Lineage: Eukaryota; Metazoa; Nematoda; Chromadorea; Rhabditida; Rhabditidae. The record is from RNAcentral.
UAAUAUUAGUCCAGUCCAAUU